Molecule: long non-coding RNA, 832 nt
Filed under: Drosophila guanche
Lineage: Eukaryota; Metazoa; Arthropoda; Insecta; Diptera; Drosophilidae
Source: RNAcentral
GUUAGGUUGAGGCGGCUGUCGGGGUUUUCAGAGACCCGACACACCUAGGCCGGUUUCGGCCCAUUGUGAUACCGCAUGCUUUGUUCCCUUCUCCCUCGUGAGACCCUAUUUUAUCCAUUAUCCCAUCCGGAUGCCCUUACGAAGCCUGCGAUCCUUCUGGGACUAAUUGUAGACAUGUCCGAAAUGUCAUUUAGAAAGGGAGCGCCCAAGUAUUGGAGUCUCCUUCUACUGAGAGCCGGGCAGGAGCAGAACAGGUGUUCCACAGUCUCCUCCUCGUCCUCAUCUCUACAGCUUCGACAGAAGUCGUUAUAUGGGGCGCCCAGCCUGUUUGCAUGUGUGCCUAUUAGCCAGUGUCCCGUAAGGGAGCGUAUGACUGAGCUGCACCUACUCCUACUGAGUUUGCAGAGCUCAUCGGUGCGCUUCCUAUUAAUGUUACGCCAUGUUUGCCGAGUUAUGCGACAUAGUGGCACAGUUUGCCAUCUGUCAUUUAGUAGUUGUUUAAAAUGUUCUUUUAUUUUGAGCUUGCAGGUGGCCAUUGGCAUACUAAUAUCCUCCUUAUCAUUGAGAAGGGGGAUUGUUGUUCCAGCUCUGGCCAGCUCGUCUGCUAUACAGUUGCCUUCAAUGUCCUGGUGGCCCGGGACCCAUAUUAGGCUGAUGACGAACUGAUACGCCAUCUCAUGAAGAGAUUUGCGACAGUUUGCCACGGUAGCCGAGCUUGUUGUUAUCGCAUUCAGUGAUUUGAUUGCAGCUUGGCUAUCACUAUAGAUAUUUAUGUGAGUUGCCGCAGGGGUUAGUUCCUGAAGACAGCUCAAAGCUUCCUUGAUCGCUAUGA